This is a non-coding RNA of Nicotiana attenuata, 101 nucleotides long. NCBI's taxonomy places the organism in Eukaryota, Viridiplantae, Streptophyta, Magnoliopsida, Solanales, Solanaceae. The record is from Rfam.
AAAUGCAACGACAACCAACGUAAUAAAUAGUCACAGGAGUGUGCUUGGGCGAGAGCAGUACUAGGACGGGUGACCCCCUGGAAGUCCUCGUGUUGCAUCCC